AACGAACGCUGGCGGCAUGCCUAACACAUGCAAGUCGAACGAGACCUUCGGGUCUAGUGGCGCACGGGUGCGUAACGCGUGGGAACCUGCCCUUAGGUUCGGAAUAACUCCCCGAAAGGGGUGCUAAUACCGGAUAAUGUCUUCGGACCAAAGAUUUAUCGCCUUUGGAUGGGCCCGCGUUGGAUUAGCUAGUUGGUAGGGUAAAAGCCUACCAAGGCGACGAUCCAUAGCUGGUCUGAGAGGAUGAUCAGCCACACUGGGACUGAGACACGGCCCAGACUCCUACGGGAGGCAGCAGUGGGGAAUAUUGGACAAUGGGCGAAAGCCUGAUCCAGCAAUGCCGCGUGAGUGAUGAAGGCCUUAGGGUUGUAAAGCUCUUUUACCCGGGAUGAUAAUGACAGUAUCGGGAGAAUAAGCUCCGGCUAACUCCGUG
RNAcentral lists this ribosomal RNA (433 nucleotides) under uncultured bacterium. Its description in RNAcentral is "partial 16S ribosomal RNA". It matches the Rfam family "Bacterial small subunit ribosomal RNA", at positions 29 to 507 of the family's 1533-position model. The record is from RNAcentral.